Salmo salar (Atlantic salmon) is the source of this 1549-nucleotide non-coding RNA. The record is from RefSeq and is a predicted model, not a curated record. Lineage: Eukaryota; Metazoa; Chordata; Actinopteri; Salmoniformes; Salmonidae.
GCACGCUUUUCCGCAUUGUCAAGAAUCAAUCAGCUAAGGAUAUUUUGUACAGAAAAGUCUUUAUUUUUUAAGAACUGGUUAAAUAAUCAUAUCCUGCUGAAUGAUCCAGAAGUAUUAUCCUGCGAAUCACUACCUGAAGAAACUCCAAAAAGACAUUAACAUUGACUGUACCUCUUGUGUAGAGCAUCCAUAAACAGUUUCGCAUUGUCUACAUGUACAAAAAAAAUAUGUUUUUUAUGGGAGAAUGUGCUGCUCGGUUUCCUUAACCAUAAGGAAAACAAUUUAACCUCAAAUCGAAUUGUGCUAAUGGAAAAUUGCAUAUUCAUAAAUGUAAAUUCACUAAUAAAAAAAACCCUUUUCUAUAAGGAAUUCAAGCAGUACAUUAAGACCAGUCUACAUUAUUCUAAUAAGAAAGCUGUUAAAACAAUCAAUGUGUGUUUCUUUUAAGGUAAUCUGUCAUUUGUUGUACCCCCUAGCACAUGUUAUCAUUGUCUAUUUGUAUACUUCUUGUAUGUAUACUGGUUUUUCUACAUUAAUAUUUUUUAUUUUUAAAUCAGCUGUUGCACGAAUAAGUCACAAACAGCCUCCAGUUUUUUAAUCGACCAUUUUGCAAUGUGCUUUUAUUGUUUCAAUCAUCCAACGUUUCUACAUCAAUCCAACAUCCAGACUCCACAAAAUUAUAUAGGUAAAAAUUAAGUCACAAUUCAGGAACUGUAUGCUUACUAAAUACAGCACUUGGCAUAUGAAAGCCAUUUUACAGAAAUUGACUAAUUGGAAAUAUUAGGGAUGUGUAUUGUGGUUAAAUUCAGCAGCGAAAAGGCAUUGAGCUGGUUUCAUGUUUUCAAGUCUUGUCAGAAAAAUAAUGAAUCAGGUGUAGUUCACGUGUAUUGCUGUUAUGUGACCCUUCCAUCAGUUUGACUAAUAACAUCUCUGCACUUCAAAUGGUUCUCUGUCAACCUGAGAAUACAGUAUUAGGAAGAUAUUAGGAAAUAACAAAUACUAAAUGACUAGGGAAAAUUAAACUCUAAUAGGUAUAUUUCUUCAAAAUGUUAAAUUAAUUCUGCUUCAAGAUUAAUUAGGGGAAAGUAUUUUAUGCAAAUAGUUGAAGAUCUUGUUUAAGUUUAAUCAAUUAACUUGACAAUUUCUAUUUUGUUAUAGCACUCAUAACACUUUACUGUGUUGACGACGAGAUUGGAUUUGGCUUCCACCACCAGGAAAUACACAAGAUAUCAUGCAGGACAAGUCAGCCCAAGCUAACUAUACCACCAUUGUCAGGUAACACCAAAAUUGGGCUUCCAUGAUAAAGGAGAACCCUCGUUUUAGAAUAUUCAACCUUUGUUACUACUUCUUUACUUUCUUCAACCUUCCUAUUCUGUGUGGAAAUUAGAAUUUCUGAAUGUCAUGGAGUUUGGAACUUUCCUCUUGUGGAGGUUCUGUAGCUUAGAAAAUGGUGCAGGGUAAGUGUCAGGCAAAAGACAACUCAACUAGGGAAUGGAACAUCCAGACUAGAAAAACACGAUAAGACCGAAGAAGAAAAAAAAAAAAAGGG